This is a non-coding RNA of Heterocephalus glaber (naked mole-rat), 4149 nucleotides long. NCBI's taxonomy places the organism in Eukaryota, Metazoa, Chordata, Mammalia, Rodentia, Bathyergidae. The record is from RefSeq and is a predicted model, not a curated record.
UGACAAAUAUGUACUGAUAAAAAUAAAGUUUGAAAAAGGAUCAUUUCACUUUAUAUUCAUAAGAUCAUUUCUAGUACAUCUAUUCUGUUCCAUUGGUCUAUGUAUAUUUUAUGCCAAUACAAUACUGCUUUGGUUACCAAAGCUUAGUACAUGGCAUGAGAAUGAAAACAUUGAGAAUAUAUCAUUUCACCCAAUCAGAAUGGCUAUUAUCAAAAUAACAAUAAACAAAUGAUUAUAAAGAUAGGGAGAAAAAAGAACUCUUAUAACUGCUGGUAGGAAAUCAAAAUUGCUAUUGCCAUUAGGGAAGACAGUAGGGAAGGUCUUCAGAAAGUAAAAAUUGAACUACCAUAUGAUUCAGUUAUACCACUCCUAGAUAUAUGUAUAUGUAUAUCUCCAGAGGAAAUGAAAUCAACACCCCAGAGAGAUACCUGCUUGUUGCUUUUUUAUCACAGCAGUAUUAACACUGGCUAAGAUAUUAUUUCAUUUAGAUGUCCAUCAAAGAAUAAAUGGAUAAGGCAAAUGUGGUAUGCAUACACUAUGGGAUAUUACUCAGCUGUAAAGAAGAAUGAAAUUUUGUCAUUUAUAACAAAAUAGAAGGAACCAGAGAAGAUUAUGUUAAGUGAAAUAAGCCAGACACAGGAAAACAAAUGCUAUAUAUUCUCAUAUAUGGAACCUAAAAAUCUUUCUUUCUGUAAAAUAGUGGUCACUAGAGGUUGGGAAGAGUAGGAAAGAAGGUGGAUACAGGGAGGUUGGAAACUGUUACCAAAUCCCACAGAGAAAGAAUAAGUUCUAAUGUUCCACAGCAUAGAAGGAUGGUUAUACUUCACAAAGACCUACUGUAUAUUUUAUGAAGAUUUGGCUGAUGGGAGGUCAAAAACUCCAAACACACAAGAACAAGAGGUAAGAAAAAUGCUAAUUAAUCUAGUUUGAUUGGUAGGUACUGUAUACUGAUGUUGAAAUAUCACACCAAACCCCAAUAAUAUGGGCAAUUAAUACAUAUAAAUAAAAAUAAAAUAGACAGUACCUCUAAAAGAAAGCAUAUUUAGGCCUAAAGUUCCACAUUUGUAUAUGCUUUUUUUUGCCAUUGGUCAUACCUUUUGAUAAAGUAAAAAUAUACCUAAAAGAAAAGAAUGUUUGCAUAGAAGUCGAUUGCAAUGGGAGAGUUUUCUCUGUUUAUUUCUAUAAUUCAUAAAAUCUUUCCAUCUUUCAAUCAGGGAAUAUCCUUAGAAAUCUUUGUCAUAAAAGUUACUGGAGAUGGAGAUGAAAUACAAAAAAGCAGCAGUACUGCUGUUCUGUGGAGCAGCCUUGACUAUCUCAUAGUAACUCACGGUGACUCACUAGAACUUUCAAAGCACAGCUGGCAUCUCUGGGAACCCUCUGGAAUGAAAAGUAUAACACAGUGUUAGGGCCAAACGGUGACCUAAUAAGCUAUUCUAGUACUGAUCCUUCUUUGUGGAGAUUGGGUUUAAUGUGCAAUGCUGCCGAUGGUCUUCUGAAAUGAGUCGAGAAAGAUGGACAGCUCACUGGGCGGGAAAGGAUUUGUGUUUCAAUGCUGUCCUCAGCCCACUGAACUGUGUGAUGAAGGUCUGCAUGCCUGAGCCUUACAUUCCCUCUUUCCCUUCUGUAUGGCUUUAGGAAGUAGCCAGAGAUCAGUCGUGAAGGCACGUGACAGGGCUGAGCUACUCUGCAGAGCAAAGUAGCAUGAAGGGAAGAAGGAAAGCACAAGGGGACCACUAAAGCUUCUGCUUUGGUAAAUUUCUGAGUUGCCUCACACCUAAGAAUGGCAGGGCUGGUUAUCAGGAGAGUGUCUUAGGGUCUGGUAUCUUGUUUAUUGUAAUUUCAUUGAGAAAAGAAACACGCUUUCAAAUCUUUAUCCAAACUUGAUUUUAAAAAGCCAAAAAAAUGUCUUAUUUCAUUUUAAUUAUUUCUUGUCUAAAAAGUAAUCUUGGUUUUCAGGAUUGACACCUACAUGAGUAGUUCUUUACAGGCAAUGAAUAAUUUCUUGUGUAUAAAUCUGUGUUGUUUGUGUAUGUAUUGUUCCUUGUAGAAGUAUUGCUCUCAUGCAGGGAGAGUGACAUUGCAAAAAAGACUAAACUUUGUUCCGUUAACUUUUGAAGUAACUGUUUUCAAACGGGAGCUUCAUUGACAUGUAUGUGGGAACUCUGCUUCCCGCUUUUUCAUAACAGAUAAGGAAAUGCUAUCCCUGCACUGCUGUGAAGGCAUUGAGGCUUACAUGUACUAUGCUCCCUGGAGACUGGAAUUUUGGCGUGUGCCACCAGAGAGGUUGGUGUAACCACUCUGCAGAAGAGUAAGACUGCAGAGGCCACCGGAUUAGCCAUAGAUGCUGGGUUUCACCGCAAAGAUUCUGCUUAUUUGCACCGAAACAAAGAGGGGGUGGGAGUGGACAUUCAGAGGAAGAUUGCAGAUGCCCCCAUGAAGAGAGAAGACAUCUUCUACACUGCAAAGCCAGAAGAGGACCUGCAUCCAGUAGAUGAGCACGGAAAAUUAUGUAGGGCACAGUGGACCACUGUGACACAUGGAGUCCUUACUUGCAGUGAUAUUGAUCCAUGCUCCCUGCACAAAUUAUUAAGUGAAUAUUCUUCAUAAUCACUUCCUCUGAGGCCAUGGAGAAGUGUAAGGAUGCAGGAUUGGCCAAGUCCAUCGGGGUGUCCAACUUUAACCGCAGGCAGCUGGAGAUGAUCCUGAACAAGCCAGGGCCCAAGUACAAGCCUGUCUGCAACCAGGUGUUCGAAUUCCAGGUGACUCCUAAGGACAUGAAAGCCAUAGAGAGCUUGAACAGAAACUUGUCAUAUCUUCCUGUUGAGUUGUAAGUAAUUUUGAAGCAUAUCUUGCCUCAUUUUAUUUUAGUUUUAAGUUUCACCCAUCUUUAUCAGUGUGUGUUUGCUCAGAACACUGUGUUUAUCACUCAGAAAGCUGCCCUUGUGGUGGUCAAUGGAAUAUUUGGUUUCCAGUGUCUGAGAUACACAAUGCAGGGUAUAAGGAGAUGUUAGAAGAGAAAUUAAAAACCAACGUAGUAUGUUUCUGAAGAGCUGCACUGCUGAAAAAAAUUUACAAUCAUCAAAAUAGCUUUACUAUUCCUUCAUGCUCUAUGGCUAUACUGAUAUUGGAUAUACAUUAUAAAUGAGGGGAAACAAGGAAUAUAUAUCCCCUCAACCUGCAAGAAUUUUAACUCCUAAUAGAAACACAUUAUAAUGUUUGAAAGAGGAUUAGACAAUUGACAAUUGUAUGUUCUCAACAAUCAGCAGAUACAUUGUUAUCAUUGUUAAUACUCCUAAUAGUAUAAAGAACAAUGAAGGAUAAGGUGGGAACAUGUAUUAAAGUGACAUAGAGUGGUAAUCAAUCAAACAAUGAUUUCUAUAACUUUAUAUCUUGUGUUGUUUUUAGUGUAGAAAUCUACAAAUUGUAUGGUAAGAUCCCUGAAGGUGAAAGUCUGUAUCAUAAAUGACCUUCUUUACAUUACUGAAUCUAACCAAAUAUGGUAAUUGUGAUGUGUCAUAGGUAAAUAAAAAAUGAAUAAGAAAAAGAGAAGUGAAAAUGCUAACAGUAAAUUGUACACCCUAAAAUAUUUGUUGAUCAUUAUUUGGACUUGUAAGCAUUACAUAUUCAUUUUCUGUUUUCAGUGAGAAUUCAAAAUCAGAAAGAAUUUCUUUGCUUUUGCUGCUUUGAAUAAUAUAGAGGAAUAUAAUAAAUAUUUGACUCUGUGUGUUCUUUUUGUUCAGCUAUAGUCAGAAAAUAAAAUUUGAAAAAUUUUGUUAGGAUUUAAAAUUUUUUCUAUUAAAGUAUGUUCACAAAAAACAAAUGGUAGAUUUUAAAGCAGUCACAAAAAAUGGUUAACUUCCACAGUUUUAGAAUAUGCACAGAUAUUACUACUUUACCAUCAUAGAAGUGGUAGAAGUGGACUCAUAAAGAGCAUAUUACACGUUUUUUCUAAUUAUAGCAUUGAGGACCACCCUAAUUAUCCAUUUGCUGAUGAAUAUCAAUGCGGAGGCCAUUGUUACGACUCCUGUCAGAAAUUUAUGUGGAAAAUGAUGGGGAAACAUCUCUGGUGCUGCUGUUUUACACAUCAUCCUGCUCAAACCAUGCUGAUUAGCAGCACUCACAGCUUGAGUUAAGUCCACUCCAGAAGAG